This 482-nucleotide ribosomal RNA is filed under the name uncultured bacterium. RNAcentral's name for it is "partial 16S ribosomal RNA". It matches the Rfam family "Bacterial small subunit ribosomal RNA", at positions 28 to 523 of the family's 1533-position model. The record is from RNAcentral.
GACGAACGCUGGCGGCGUGCUUAACACAUGCAAGUCGAACGAUGAUGCCCAGCUUGCUGGGUGGAUUAGUGGCGAAUGGGUGAGUAACACGUGGGCAACCUGCCCCACACUGUGGGAUAACUCCUCGCAAGAGGUGCUAAUACCGGAUACGAACUAGACAGACAUCUGUACUAGUUGGAAAGUUUUUCGGUUUGGGAUGGGCCCGCGGCCUAUUAGCUUGUUGGUGAGGUAACGGCGCACCAAGGCUACGACGGGUAACCGGCCUGGGUGGGCGACCGGUAGCACUGGGACGUAGAUACGGCCUUGACUCAUACGGGAGGAAGCAGUGGGGAAUAGUGCGCAAUGGGCGAAGGCCUGGAGCAGCGACGCCGCGUGAGGGAUGAAGGUCUUCGGAUCGUAAACCUCUGUCAGUAGGGACGAAGCGAAAGUGACGGUACCUAAAGAAGAAGCACCGGCUAACUACGUGCCAGCCGCCGCCGUAA